Long non-coding RNA from Malus domestica (apple), 286 nucleotides. RefSeq lists it as uncharacterized. Lineage: Eukaryota; Viridiplantae; Streptophyta; Magnoliopsida; Rosales; Rosaceae. The record is from RefSeq and is a predicted model, not a curated record.
AAGAGAUUGCCUAAAUGGAUCCUAGACUAGUAAAAAAUGCAUAGAAGUUUGAAAUAAAUUGAGAUCCAAUAUUAUGAGUUGAUUAUCAGUACCAUACAUAAAACAAAGGAGUUCUUGAUUCAAAGGUGAACCAUUUCAUGAAAUUAUGAUAUUCUAAACAGUGAAUUUGUGUUUUCAAGUAAACAAGAAGCUAAAGCGUAAUCAAAGGAUUUGUCGACCUAUUGUGGAAGAUUGAAAUGGUACGAUUCUGCUUGAUGAUCGUGGAAGCCAGCGAUUCUGCUUCUAC